GUGAGGAAUAUUGCGCAAUGGAGGCAACUCUGACGCAGCCAUGCCGCGUGCAGGAAGAAGGCGCUACGCGUUGUAAACUGCUUUUAACCGGGAAGAAACCCCAGGACGUGUCCUGGGUUGACGGUACCGGAGGAAUAAGCACCGGCUAACUUCGUGCCAGCAGACGCGGUAAUACGAAGGGUGCAAGCGUUAUCCGGAUUCAUUGGGUUUAAAGGGUGCGUAGGCGGAGCGUUAAGUCAGUGGUGAAAUCCUGCAGCUUAACUGUAGACUUGCCAUUGAUACUGGCGCUCUUGAGUGCGCUUGAAGUGGGCGGAAUGUGCCGUGUAGCGGUGAAAUGCUUAGAUAUGGCACAGAACACCAAUUGCGAAGGCAGCUCACUAAGGCGAUACUGACGCUGAGGCACGAAAGCGUGGGGAUCGAACAGGAUUAGAUACCCCAGUAGUCC
RNAcentral lists this ribosomal RNA (445 nucleotides) under uncultured bacterium. RNAcentral's name for it is "bacterial SSU rRNA". It matches the Rfam family "Bacterial small subunit ribosomal RNA", at positions 354 to 796 of the family's 1533-position model. The record is from RNAcentral.